This is a long non-coding RNA of Homo sapiens (human), 197 nucleotides long. Ensembl annotates it as tripartite motif containing 16 like (pseudogene). Its record names the gene TRIM16L. NCBI's taxonomy places the organism in Eukaryota, Metazoa, Chordata, Mammalia, Primates, Hominidae. The record is from Ensembl.
UUCUGCCCUCUGAGGACCCUGCCCUUUCCCAAAAGGGGUAUCUUAAGAAGGAAAAUAUGGCUGCUCUUUGCCGGACAGCAGAGUCCCAGGAUGUGGCUGUGAACUUCACUAGGAAGAAUGGAGAGUACUGGACCUUGCUCAGAGAGUCUUGUACAGGGAUGUAAUGCUGGAGAACUAUAGGAACCUGGUCUCCUUGG